This 585-nucleotide ribosomal RNA is filed under the name uncultured bacterium. RNAcentral describes it as "bacterial SSU rRNA". It matches the Rfam family "Bacterial small subunit ribosomal RNA", at positions 338 to 916 of the family's 1533-position model. The record is from RNAcentral.
CCUACGGGAGGCAGCAGUGGGGAAUAUUGGACAAUGGGCGAAAGCCUGAUCCAGCAAUGCCGCGUGUGUGAAGAAGGCCUUCGGGUUGUAAAGCACUUUAAGUUGGGAAGAAAAAGCUCUGGCUAAUAUCUAGAGCCUUGACGGUACCAACAGAAUAAGCACCGGCUAACUCUGUGCCAGCAGCCGCGGUAAUACAGAGGGUGCUAGCGUUAAUCGGAUUUACUGGGCGUAAAGCGUGCGUAGGCGGUUUGAUAAGUCGAUUGUGAAAGCCCCGGGCUUAACCUGGGAAUUGCAGUUGAUACUGUCAGACUAGAAAACGGUAGAGGGAGGCGGAACUCCAGGUGUAGCGGUGAAAUGCGUAGAUAUCUGGAAGAACACCGAUGGCGAAGGCAACCUCCUGGGCCUGUUUUGACGCUGAGGCACGAAAGCGUGGGUAGCAAACAGGAUUAGAUACCCUGGUAGUCCACGCCGUAAACGAUGAGAACUUGACGUUGGUUUGCUUAGCAAAUCGGUGUCGUAGCUAACGCGAUAAGUUCUCCGCCUGGGGAGUACGGCCGCAAGGUUGAAACUCAAAGGAAUUGACGG